RNAcentral lists this ribosomal RNA (301 nucleotides) under uncultured bacterium. RNAcentral describes it as "partial 16S ribosomal RNA". It matches the Rfam family "Bacterial small subunit ribosomal RNA", at positions 509 to 807 of the family's 1533-position model. The record is from RNAcentral.
CAGUCGCCGCGGGAAUACGAAGGGGGCUAGCGUUGUUCGGAUUUACUGGGCGUAAAGCGCACGUAGGCGGACUUUUAAGUCAGGGGUGAAAUCCCGGGGCUCAACCCCGGAACUGCCUUUGAUACUGGAAGUCUUGAGUAUGGUAGAGGUGAGUGGAACUCCGAGUGUAGAGGUGAUAUUCGUAGAUAUUCGGAGGAACACCAGUGGCGAAGGCGGCUCACUGGACCAUUACUGACGCUGAGGUGCGAAAGCGUGGGGAGCAAACAGGAUUAGAUACCCCGGUAGUCCCUGUCUCUUAUAC